RNAcentral lists this ribosomal RNA (220 nucleotides) under uncultured archaeon. RNAcentral's name for it is "partial 16S ribosomal RNA". It matches the Rfam family "Archaeal small subunit ribosomal RNA", at positions 462 to 673 of the family's 1478-position model. The record is from RNAcentral.
UAGCCACGGUAAUACCAGCCCCUGCGAGUGGUCGGGACGUUUUAUUGGGGCCUAAAAGCGUCCGUAGCCGGCCCGGUAAGUCCUCCCUCAAAAGCCCCCGGGCUCAACCCGGGGAAGGGGAGGGAUACUGCCGGGCUAGGGGGCGGGAGAGGCCGGGGGUACGUCCCGGGGUACGGGGCGGAAAUCCGUUAAUCCCGGGAGGACCACCAGUGGCGAAGGC